Molecule: ribosomal RNA, 497 nt
Filed under: uncultured bacterium
Lineage: Bacteria
Description: partial 16S ribosomal RNA
Rfam family: Bacterial small subunit ribosomal RNA
Source: RNAcentral
GAUGAACGCUGGCGGCGUGCCUAAUACAUGCCAGUCGAGCGAACAGAUGAGGAGCUUGCUCCUCUGACGUUAGCGGCGGACGGGUGAGUAACACGUGGAUAACCUACCUAUAAGACUGGGAUAACUUCGGGAAACCGGAGCUAAUACCGGAUAAUAUAUUGAACCGCAUGGUUCAAUAGUGAAAGACGGUUUUGCUGUCACUUAUAGAUGGAUCCGCGCCGCAUUAGCUAGUUGGUAAGGUGACGGCUUACCAAGGCAACGAUGCGUAGCCGACCUGAGAGGGUGAUCGGCCACACUGGAACUGAGACACGGUCCAGACUCCUACGGGAGGCAGCAGUAGGGAAUCUUCCGCAAUGGGCGAAAGCUUGACGGAGCAACGCCGCGUGAGUGAUGAAGGUCUUCGGAUCGUAAAACUCUGUUAUUAGGGAAGAACAAAUGUGUAAGUAACUAUGCACGUCUUGACGGUACCUAAUCAGAAAGCCACGGCUAACUACGUG